GUGCUUGCUUUGGCAGCACAUAUACUAAAAUUGGAAUGAUACAGAGAAGAUCAGCACUGCCCCUGCUCAAGGAUGACACGCAAAUUUGUGAAGAGUUCCACAUUUUU
This 107-nucleotide small nuclear RNA is filed under the name Bos mutus (wild yak). Lineage: Eukaryota; Metazoa; Chordata; Mammalia; Artiodactyla; Bovidae. The record is from RNAcentral.